Molecule: long non-coding RNA, 87 nt
Organism: Chiroxiphia lanceolata (lance-tailed manakin)
Lineage: Eukaryota; Metazoa; Chordata; Aves; Passeriformes; Pipridae
Exons: 3
Source: RefSeq, a predicted model, not a curated record
CUCAGUUUGGGCUCAGUUUGGGCUCAGUUUGGGCUCAUUUGGGCUCAGUUUGGGCUCAUUUGGGCUCAGUUUGGGCUCAAUUUGGCU